Camelina sativa (false flax) is the source of this 523-nucleotide non-coding RNA. NCBI's taxonomy places the organism in Eukaryota, Viridiplantae, Streptophyta, Magnoliopsida, Brassicales, Brassicaceae. The record is from RefSeq and is a predicted model, not a curated record.
UUGUAUCUGGAUGCUCCUUUUUACGGAUUUGGAUUUGAGUUAAUAAUCGAGGAGUUAUAUGCAGUUUCGUGAGGUGAUUUGUCUCAAACGCGAACUGAGACCAGCGGGGAUUGUAAGUGCGAUCGCGGACUUGUCUGUUAUCCGAUCAACACGAGAUUUGUGGAAAGCUUCGUAACGUCUAGGGAUAAGUUUCAGCCAGAGGGAUUUGGAAGUUAAUGGGUGUUGCUGGGAUGUUACAGACACGAAAAAAGUCUCUCCUGGUUGUGUUUUGUUGUUCGAAUCAUCUUGUUAAGGUAAUUUGUAGCGUGGAAUCAUGGCGACGAGGAGAAGGAUGACAUAGGGUCUCGUUUUUGUGUUGUGGUUAUGUUACUCUUGUUGGAACUUGGUUAUAAGCUUACUAGGUUUCUGGUUAUAUUAGUUUGGUUUUGUUUGUCUUCCUCUGUGCAUGUUGAUUUCUUGUUGGUUUAUUGUUUAGAUUAUAAUUAAAUAUUCCGGGGUAUUAAUUAUAUUAUUAUAUUUUAAA